Molecule: small nuclear RNA, 131 nt
Organism: Achroia grisella
Lineage: Eukaryota; Metazoa; Arthropoda; Insecta; Lepidoptera; Pyralidae
Product: U11 spliceosomal RNA
Exons: 1
Source: RefSeq, a predicted model, not a curated record
UAAAAGGGUGUUUGCCGCUUUGAUGGCACGCGCACCGGAAACGGUGUGUGGGGUAUGGUUAUCAAGACAUACUCAACACAUAAUUUUUUUAUCAGAGAGGCAGUUGGCUACCCAUAUGUACCGGCGCCUCC